CCAAAUAAUCGGACGGUCGCAGGCCGCAAGGCGUGAGGAAAGUCCGGACACCGUAAGGCAGAGUGCCUGCUAACUACAGGUUAAGGCGACUUAAAGGAAAGUGCAACAGAAAUAGACCGCCGACUUAUAGUCGGUAAGGAUGGAAAGGCGAGGUAAGAGCUCACCGUCUUUGCGGUAACGCGAAGAGCCAUGUAAACCCCACUCGGUGCAAGAGAAAACGACAUUAUGCGGUAGCCUGCCGCGUCGGAAAAUCGCUUGAACGCGUCGGCGACGUCGCGUCUAGACAGAUGACCGUCAUAACAGAAUCCGGCUUACAGAUUAUUUGGUAUA
RNAcentral lists this RNase P RNA (330 nucleotides) under Clostridia bacterium. RNAcentral's name for it is "RNase P RNA component class A". It matches the Rfam family "Bacterial RNase P class A". From Rfam's summary of the family: Ribonuclease P (RNase P) is a ubiquitous endoribonuclease, found in archaea, bacteria and eukarya as well as chloroplasts and mitochondria. The record is from RNAcentral. Lineage: Bacteria; Bacillati; Bacillota; Clostridia.